GGGUUGUGAGGUUAAGCGACUAAGCGUACACGGUGGAUGCCCUGGCAGUCAGAGGCGAUGAAGGGCGUGCUAAUCUGCGAUAAGCGCCGGUAAGGUGAUAUGAACCGUUAUAACCGGCGAUACCCGAAUGGGGAAACCCAGUGUGAUUCGUCACACUAUCAUUAACUGAAUCCAUAGGUUAAUGAGGCGAACCGGGGGAACUGAAACAUCUAAGUACCCCGAGGAAAAGAAAUCAACCGAGAUUCCCCCAGUAGCGGCGAGCGAACGGGGAGGAGCCCAGAGCCUGAAUCAGCAUGUGUGUUAGUGGAAGCGUCUGGAAAGGCGCGCGAUACAGGGUGACAGCCCCGUACACAAAAGCGUAUGUGCUGUGAGCUCGAUGAGUAGGGCGGGACACGUGGUAUCCUGUCUGAAUAUGGGGGGACCAUCCUCCAAGGCUAAAUACUCCUGACUGACCGAUAGUGAACCAGUACCGUGAGGGAAAGGCGAAAAGAACCCCGGCGAGGGGAGUGAAAAAGAACCUG
RNAcentral lists this ribosomal RNA (521 nucleotides) under Salmonella enterica. RNAcentral describes it as "partial 23S ribosomal RNA". It matches the Rfam family "Bacterial large subunit ribosomal RNA", at positions 1 to 552 of the family's 2925-position model. Lineage: Bacteria; Pseudomonadati; Pseudomonadota; Gammaproteobacteria; Enterobacterales; Enterobacteriaceae. The record is from RNAcentral.